UGGGGAAUAUUGCACAAUGGGCACAAGCCUGAUGCAGCCAUGCCGCGUGUGUGAAGAAGGCCUUCGGGUUGUAAAGCACUUUCAGCGGGGAGGAAGGCGAUAAGGUUAAUAACCUUGUCGAUUGACGUUACCCGCAGAAGAAGCACCGGCUAACUCCGUGCAAGCAGCCGCGGUAAUACGGAGGGUGCAAGCGUUAAGCGGAAUUACUGGGCGUAAAGCGCACGCAGGCGGUCUGUCAAGUCGGAUGUGAAAUCCCCGGGCUUAACCUGGGAACUGCAUUCGAAAAUGGCAGGCUAGAGUCUUGUAGAGGGGGGUAGAAUUCCAGGUGUAGCGGUGAAAUGCGUAGAGAUCUGGAGGAAUACCGGUGGCGAAGGCGGCCCCCUGGACAAAGACUGACGCUCAGGUGCGAAAGCGUGGGGAGCAAACAGG
RNAcentral lists this ribosomal RNA (429 nucleotides) under Chloroflexota bacterium. Its description in RNAcentral is "Chloroflexi bacterium partial 16S ribosomal RNA". It matches the Rfam family "Bacterial small subunit ribosomal RNA", at positions 355 to 776 of the family's 1533-position model. The record is from RNAcentral. Lineage: Bacteria; Bacillati; Chloroflexota.